RNAcentral lists this ribosomal RNA (761 nucleotides) under uncultured Gammaproteobacteria bacterium. Its description in RNAcentral is "bacterial SSU rRNA". It matches the Rfam family "Bacterial small subunit ribosomal RNA", at positions 60 to 801 of the family's 1533-position model. Lineage: Bacteria; Pseudomonadati; Pseudomonadota; Gammaproteobacteria. The record is from RNAcentral.
AGUCGAGCGGUAGAGAGAGCUUGCUUCUCUUGAGAGCGGCGGACGGGCGUUUCAUGCCUAGGAAUCUGCCUAGUGGUGGGGGAUAACGUUCGGAAACGGACGCUAAUACCGCAUACGUCCUACGGGAGAAAGCGGGGGAUCUUCGGACCUCGCGCCAUUAGAUGAGCCUAGGUCGGAUUAGCUAGUUGGUGAGGUAACGGCUCACCAAGGCGACGAUCCGUAACUGGUCUGAGAGGAUGAUCCGUCACACUGGAACUGAGACACGGUCCAGACUCCUACGGGAGGCAGCAGUGGGGAAUAUUGGACAAUGGGCGAAAGCCUGAUCCAGCCAUGCCGCGUGUGUGAAGAAGGUCUUCGGAUUGUAAAGCACUUUAAGUUGGGAGGAAGGGCAGCACCCUAAUACGUUAUUGUUUUGACGUUACCGACAGAAUAAGCCCCGGCUAACUUCGUGCCCGCAGCCGCGGUAAUACGAAGGGGGCAAGCCGUUAAUCGGAAUUACUGGGCGAAAAGCGCCGCGUAGGUGGUUCAUUAAGCUGGAAGUGGAAUCCCUGGGCUCACCCUGGGAACUGCUUUCCAAAACUGCUGGAACUAAAUUACGGCUAAAAGGGGGUGGAAUUUCCCUGUGGUGCGGCGGAAAUGCCCCAAAUUUAGGAAGGAACCCCCGCGGGGGAAGGCCCACCCCCUGAAACUGGAUUCCUGACCCCUGGGUGGCAAAAGCGUGGGGAGCCCAACUGGAAUUACAUACCCUGGCAGGCCCCCCC